RNAcentral lists this ribosomal RNA (451 nucleotides) under uncultured bacterium. RNAcentral's name for it is "bacterial SSU rRNA". It matches the Rfam family "Bacterial small subunit ribosomal RNA", at positions 29 to 524 of the family's 1533-position model. The record is from RNAcentral.
AACGAACGCUGGCGGCGUGCCUAAGACAUGCAAGUCGAGUGGGUUUAGACCCACGGCGAACGGGUGAGUAAUACCUAGGAACUUUCUUUAAGUGGAGGAUAACCAGCCGAAAGGUUGGAUAAUACUUCAUGUGGCAGUAAUGCUAAAGUCGCAAGACGCUUAAAGUGAGGCCUGGGCACCAUCAGCUAGUUGGUAAGGUAAUGGCUUACCAAGGCUAUGACGGUUAGGGGUCCCGAGAGAGAUAACCCCCACACUGGAACUGCGACACGGUCCAGACUCCUACGGGAGGCAGCAGUUUGGAAUUUUGGACAAUGGGCGAAAGCCUAAUCCAGCGACGCCGCGUGGACGAUGAAGGCCUUCGGGUCGUAAGGUCCUUUUGCUCGGGAACAAUAUUUUGAGCGUACCGAGAGAAUAAAGAGGUUGCUAACUCUGUGCCAGCAGCCGCGGUAAU